GGCUGAAAUUCGCCUUCAUGAAGUCGGAAUUGCUGUAAUGGCAGGUCAGCAUACUGCCGUGAAUACGUUCCCGGGCCUUGUACACACCGCCCGUCACACCAUGAGAGUUGGAGAUACCCGAAGCCUAUGAGCUAACUUUUAGAGGCAGUAGUCGAAGGUAGAAUCAAUGAUUGGGGUGAAGUCGUAACAAGGUAGC
This 196-nucleotide ribosomal RNA is filed under the name uncultured bacterium. RNAcentral describes it as "partial 16S ribosomal RNA". It matches the Rfam family "Bacterial small subunit ribosomal RNA", at positions 1303 to 1500 of the family's 1533-position model. The record is from RNAcentral.